GACGAACGCUGGCGGCGUGCCUAAUACAUGCAAGUAGAACGCUGAAGGAGGAGCUUGCUUCUCUGGAUGAGUUGCGAACGGGUGAGUAACGCGUAGGUAACCUGCCUGGUAGCGGGGGAUAACUAUUGGAAACGAUAGCUAAUACCGCAUAAUAGCAGUUGUUGCAUGACAACUGUUUGAAAGGUGCAAUUGCACCACUACCAGAUGGACCUGCGUUGUAUUAGCUAGUUGGUGGGGUAACGGCUCACCAAGGCGACGAUACAUAGCCGACCUGAGAGGGUGAUCGGCUACACUGGGACUGAGACACGGCCCAGACUCCUACGGGAGGCAGCAGUAGGGAAUCUUCGGCAAUGGACGGAAGUCUGACCGAGCAACGCCGCGUGAGUGAAGAAGGUUUUCGGAUCGUAAAGCUCUGUUGUAAGAGAAGAACGAGUGUGAGAGUGGAAAGUUCACACUGUGACGGUAUCUUACCAGAAAGGGACGGCUAACUACGUG
Molecule: ribosomal RNA, 495 nt
Filed under: uncultured bacterium
Lineage: Bacteria
Description: partial 16S ribosomal RNA
Rfam family: Bacterial small subunit ribosomal RNA
Source: RNAcentral